GUCUUCGAGGCGGGGCGAAAUUCCCCACCGGCGGUCAAAGUCCGCAAGCGGCAUUCGUAUGCCGCACGAUCCGGUGAAAUUCCGGAACCGACGGUCACAGUCCGGAUGAGAGAAGAA
Molecule: non-coding RNA, 117 nt
Filed under: human gut metagenome
Description: FMN riboswitch (RFN element)
Rfam family: FMN riboswitch aptamer (RFN element)
About the family: The RFN element is a highly conserved domain that is found frequently in the 5'-untranslated regions of prokaryotic mRNAs that encode for flavin mononucleotide (FMN) biosynthesis and transport proteins. This element is a metabolite-dependent riboswitch that directly binds FMN in the absence of proteins.
Source: RNAcentral